GUGAAUCAUCGAAUCUUUGAACGCACAUUGCGCCCAUUGGUAUUCCGAUGGGCAUGCCUGUUCGAGCGUCAUUAUCCUCCCUCAAACCUCGUGUUUGGUGUUGGACCACGUUGGCCGAGCGACCAACUGGUCUCAAAGACAAUGACGGCGUCCGUGGGACCCUCGGUGCAACGAGCUUCUAAGGAGCACGCGUCGAGUUUCAAGGACCCUCCGGGCCGGUCUUAACCUCCAUCUUCUCAGGUUGACCUCGGAUCAGGUAGGAAUACCCGCUGAACUUAAGCAUAUCAAUAAGCGGAGGA
RNAcentral lists this unclassified non-coding RNA (299 nucleotides) under Chaetothyriales sp. Its description in RNAcentral is "partial contains 5.8S ribosomal RNA, internal transcribed spacer 2, and large subunit ribosomal RNA". The stretch from base 1 to 71 matches the Rfam family "5.8S ribosomal RNA", at positions 84 to 154 of the family's 154-position model. The record is from RNAcentral. Lineage: Eukaryota; Fungi; Ascomycota; Eurotiomycetes; Chaetothyriales.